This 407-nucleotide ribosomal RNA is filed under the name uncultured bacterium. Its description in RNAcentral is "bacterial SSU rRNA". It matches the Rfam family "Bacterial small subunit ribosomal RNA", at positions 917 to 1345 of the family's 1533-position model. The record is from RNAcentral.
GGGCCCGCACAAGCGGUGGAGUAUGUGGUUUAAUUCGAUGCAACGCGCAGAACCUUACCAACCCCUUGACAUCCUGUGCUAUAUUCAGAGAUGAAUGGUUCCCUUCGGGGACGCAGUGACAGGUGCUGCAUGGCUGUCGUCAGCUCGUGUCGUGAGAUGUUCGGUUAAGUCCGGCAACGAGCGCAACCCACAUCCCUAGUUGCCAGCAGUUCGGCUGGGCACUCUAUGGAAACUGCCCGUGAUAAGCGGGAGGAAGGUGUGGAUGACGUCAAGUCCUCAUGGCCCUUACGGGUUGGGCUACACACGUGCUACAAUGGCAUCUACAGUGGGUUAAUCCCCAAAAGAUGUCUCAGUUCGGAUUGUCGUCUGCAACUCGACGGCAUGAAGUCGGAAUCGCUAGUAAUCGC